AUUGAACGCUGGCGGCAGGCCUAACACAUGCAAGUCGAACGAGUGGCGGACGGGUGAGUAAUGUCUGGGAAACUGCCUGAUGGAGGGGGAUAACUACUGGAAACGGUAGCUAAUACCGCAUACCAUCGGAUGUGCCCAGAUGGGAGUAGCUAGUGGGUGGGGUAACGGCUCACAAAGGCGACGAUCCCUAGCUGGUAUGAGAGGAUGACCAGCCAAACUGGAACGGAGACACGUUCCAGACUCCUACGGGAGGCAGCAUGGGUGAAAAUGGCAUAAUGGGCGCAAGCCUGAUGUAGCCAUGCCGCGUGUAUGAAGAAGGCCUUCGGGUUGUAAAGGACUUUCAGCGGGGAGGCGUUACCCGCAGAAGAAGCACCGGCUAACUCCGUGCCAGCAGCCGCGGUAAUUC
This 406-nucleotide ribosomal RNA is filed under the name uncultured bacterium. RNAcentral's name for it is "partial 16S ribosomal RNA". It matches the Rfam family "Bacterial small subunit ribosomal RNA", at positions 30 to 526 of the family's 1533-position model. The record is from RNAcentral.